Molecule: ribosomal RNA, 465 nt
Filed under: uncultured Selenomonas sp.
Lineage: Bacteria; Bacillati; Bacillota; Negativicutes; Selenomonadales; Selenomonadaceae
Description: bacterial SSU rRNA
Rfam family: Bacterial small subunit ribosomal RNA
Source: RNAcentral
CCUACGGGAGGCUGCAGUGGGGAAUCUUCCGCAAUGGGCGCAAGCCUGACGGAGCAACGCCGCGUGAGUGAAGAAGGUCUUCGGAUCGUAAAGCUCUGUUGACGGGGACGAACGUACGGAGUGCGAAUAGUGCUCUGUAAUGACGGUACCUGUCGAGGAAGCCACGGCUAACUACGUGCCAGCAGCCGCGGUAAUACGUAGGUGGCGAGCGUUGUCCGGAAUCAUUGGGCGUAAAGGGAGCGCAGGCGGGCAUGUAAGUCUUUCUUAAAAGUUCGGGGCUCAACCCCGUGAUGGGAAAGAAACUACAUGUCUUGAGUACAGGAGAGGAAAGCGGAAUUCCCAGUGUAGCGGUGAAAUGCGUAGAUAUUGGGAGGAACACCAGUGGCGAAGGCGGCUUUCUGGACUGCAACUGACGCUGAGGCUCGAAAGCCAGGGGAGCGAACGGGAUUAGAUACCCCAGUAGUC